This 487-nucleotide ribosomal RNA is filed under the name uncultured bacterium. Its description in RNAcentral is "bacterial SSU rRNA". It matches the Rfam family "Bacterial small subunit ribosomal RNA", at positions 28 to 511 of the family's 1533-position model. The record is from RNAcentral.
GAUGAACGCUAGCGGCAGGCUUAAUACAUGCAAGUCGAGGGGCAGCACGAAUAGCAAUAUUUGGUGGCGACCGGCGCACGGGUGCGUAACACGUAUACAACCUACCUAUAACAGGGGGAUAGCCUUUCGAAAGAGAGAUUAAUACCCCGUAAUAAAUUGAAUGGCAUCAUUUGAUUUUGAAAGCUACGGCGGUUAUAGAUGGGUAUGCGUCUGAUUAGCUAGUUGGUGAGGUAAUGGCUCACCAAGGCGACGAUCAGUAGGGGAUCUGAGAGGACUAACCCCCACACUGGUACUGAGACACGGACCAGACUCCUACGGGAGGCAGCAGUAAGGAAUAUUGGUCAAUGGAGGCAACUCUGAACCAGCCAUGCCGCGUGCAGGAUGACGGCCCUAUGGGUUGUAAACUGCUUUUGUACCAGAGAAAACCUAUCUACGUGUAGAUAGCUGAUAGUAUGGUAAGAAUAAGCAUCGGCUAACUUCGUGCCAG